UCAUAUACAGGCCAAGAUGCCUAAAGAUGAA
Molecule: non-coding RNA, 31 nt
Filed under: Rattus norvegicus (Norway rat)
Lineage: Eukaryota; Metazoa; Chordata; Mammalia; Rodentia; Muridae
Source: RNAcentral